CCCCAGCUGACGAGUCCAAAAUAGGACGAGACGCGCGCCUUGGAU
This 45-nucleotide non-coding RNA is filed under the name Schistosoma bovis. Lineage: Eukaryota; Metazoa; Platyhelminthes; Trematoda; Strigeidida; Schistosomatidae. RNAcentral also lists the same sequence under 1 other name. The record is from RNAcentral.